AUGCAGUGGGCUUUCCCUCUAAUUCUAGCUUUUCUGUCUCGUGCCAGUCAGAUAUCACCCAACUUGGAAGGGAGAAUGAUGCCAAUCAUCAGGCCAACCGGAUCGGCUGUUGUUAUCACUUGUGAUAUUAUUUAACGCAGUACCAAGUACAUCCACUGGUACCUCUACCAGGAGAGCAAGGCCCCACAACACCUUCUGCACUACUCCUUCUACACCUCCAAAGCUGUGGUGGAUUCAAAAAUCAGCCGAGGGAAAUACCAUGCUUAUGAAGGUACAGAGAGGAGUUGUAAAUUGGUACUGCAAAAUCUGAAAGCACGUGACUCUGGUGUGUAUUAUUGUGCCACCUGGCUGCACAGUGAUUCAAACCUGCCCUACGCCACACUGAAAAUCUUGCUUGUGGCUGCACCUGGUACACAAGACAGACCAGCCCCUGUCUCACUUCAGGCCCGGACUUCACCUUAUUCCGAAUAG
Molecule: non-coding RNA, 471 nt
Organism: Propithecus coquereli (Coquerel's sifaka)
Lineage: Eukaryota; Metazoa; Chordata; Mammalia; Primates; Indriidae
Source: the annotation of a RefSeq genome assembly